RNAcentral lists this ribosomal RNA (236 nucleotides) under uncultured Peptostreptococcus sp. RNAcentral's name for it is "partial 16S ribosomal RNA". It matches the Rfam family "Bacterial small subunit ribosomal RNA", at positions 122 to 354 of the family's 1533-position model. The record is from RNAcentral. Lineage: Bacteria; Bacillati; Bacillota; Clostridia; Peptostreptococcales; Peptostreptococcaceae.
UAACCUGCCCUAUACACAUGGAUAACAUACUAGUAAAAGUUUACUAAUACAUGAUAAUAUAUAUUUACGGCAUCGUAGAUAUAUCAAAGUGUUAGCGGUAUAGGAUGGACCCGCGUCUGAUUAGCUAGUUGGUGAGAUAACUGCCCACCAAGGCGACGAUCAGUAGCCGACCUGAGAGGGUGAUCGGCCACAUUGGAACUGAGACACGGUCCAAACUCCUACGGGAGGCAGCAGAA